RNAcentral lists this non-coding RNA (24 nucleotides) under Drosophila melanogaster (fruit fly). Lineage: Eukaryota; Metazoa; Arthropoda; Insecta; Diptera; Drosophilidae. The record is from RNAcentral.
UUGGUCAUAUAUUGAGGCACGAAG